This 442-nucleotide ribosomal RNA is filed under the name uncultured bacterium. RNAcentral's name for it is "partial 16S ribosomal RNA". It matches the Rfam family "Bacterial small subunit ribosomal RNA", at positions 338 to 795 of the family's 1533-position model. The record is from RNAcentral.
CCUACGGGAGGCAGCAGUGGGGAAUAUUGGGCAAUGGGCGAAAGCCUGACCCAGCAACGCCGCGUGAAGGAAGAAGGCUUUCGGGUUGUAAACUUCUUUUGACAGGGAAGAGCAGAAGAAGGUACCUGUCGAAUAAGCCACGGCGAACUACGUGACAGCAGCCGCGGUAAUAAGUAGGUGGCAAGCGUUGUCCGGAUUUACUGGGUGGAAAGGGCGUGUAGCCGGGCUGACAAGUUUGAUGUGAAAUCCGGGGGCUCAACCCCCGAACUGCAUUUGAAACUGUUGGUCUUGAGUAUCGGAGAGGCAGGCGGAAUUCCUAGUGUAGCGGUGAAAUGCGUAGAUAUUAGGAGGAACACCAGUGGCGAAGGCGGCCUGCUGGACGACAACUGACGGUGAGGCGCGAAAGCGUGGGGAGCAAACAGGAUUAGAUACCCUAGUAGUC